UACAGAGGGUGCGAGCGUUAAUCGGAAUUACUGGGCGUAAAGCGCGCGUAGGCGGCUUUGCAAGUCGGGUGUGAAAUCCCCGGGCUCAACCUGGGAAUUGCAUUCGAUACUGGAUAGCUAGAGUUCGGCAGAGGGAAGUGGAAUUUCGGGUGUAGCGGUGAAAUGCGUAGAUAUCCGAAGGAACAUCAGUGGCGAAGGCGACUACCUGGACCAGCACUGACACUGAGGCACGAAAGCGUGGGGAGCAAACAGG
Molecule: ribosomal RNA, 253 nt
Filed under: uncultured bacterium
Lineage: Bacteria
Description: partial 16S ribosomal RNA
Rfam family: Bacterial small subunit ribosomal RNA
Source: RNAcentral